RNAcentral lists this ribosomal RNA (301 nucleotides) under uncultured bacterium. RNAcentral's name for it is "partial 16S ribosomal RNA". It matches the Rfam family "Bacterial small subunit ribosomal RNA", at positions 509 to 807 of the family's 1533-position model. The record is from RNAcentral.
CAGCAGCCGCGGUAAUACAGAGGGUGCGAGCGUUAAUCGGAUUUACUGGGCGUAAAGCGUGCGUAGGCGGCUAAUUGAGUCGGAUGUGAAAUCCCCGAGCUUAACUUGGGAAUUGCAUUCGAUACUGGUUAGCUAGAGUGUGGGAGAGGAUGGUAGAAUUCCAGGUGUAGCGGUGAAAUGCGUAGAGAUCUGGAGGAAUACCGAUGGCGAAGGCAGCUAUCUGGCCUAACACUGACGCUGAGGUACGAAAGCAUGGGGAGCAAACAGGAUUAGAUACCCGCGUAGUCCCUGUCUCUUAUAC